This 446-nucleotide ribosomal RNA is filed under the name uncultured bacterium. Its description in RNAcentral is "partial 16S ribosomal RNA". It matches the Rfam family "Bacterial small subunit ribosomal RNA", at positions 338 to 795 of the family's 1533-position model. The record is from RNAcentral.
CCUACGGGUGGCAGCAGUCGAGAAUCAUUCACAAUGGGGGAAACCCUGAUGGUGCGACGCCGCGUGGGGGAAUGAAGGUCUUCGGAUUGUAAACCCCUGUCAUGUGGGAGCAAAUUAAAAAGAUAGUACCACAAGAGGAAGAGACGGCUAACUCUGUGCCAGCAGCCGCGGUAAUACAGAGGUCGCAAGCGUUGUUCGGAAUCACUGGGCGUAAGGCGUGCGUAGGCUGUUUCGUAAGUCGUGUGUGAAAGGCGCGGGCUCAACCCGCGGGCGGCACAUGAUACUGCGAGACUAGAGUAAUGGAGGGGGAACCGGAAUUCUCGGUGUAGCAGUGAAAUGCGUAGAUAUCGAGAGGAACACUCGUGGCGAAGGCGGGUUCCUGGACAUUAACUGACGCUGAGGCACGAAGGCCAGGGGAGCGAAAGGGAUUAGAUACCCCUGUAGUC